This 479-nucleotide long non-coding RNA is filed under the name Homo sapiens (human). RNAcentral's name for it is "HSALNT0110389". Lineage: Eukaryota; Metazoa; Chordata; Mammalia; Primates; Hominidae. The record is from RNAcentral.
UAGCUACCAGAAUUCACCCCCAGCCUAACAGAUCCAAGAUCACUGUCAGCCCUGAGGAGGCAGGAGAGAUGCAAAUCUGAGAGAUAAAAGUGAAAAACUCAGCACUGCAGAAGUAAGGAUUAUUGGAUAGAGUUUCUCCAUCUAGCAUCCCAACUAUGAGAAGAUGGCCAUCUAUGAGAAAGUGGGGCCUCACCAGACACUGAAUCUGCUGGCUCCUAGAUCUUGGACUUCUCAGCCUUCUGAACUGUGAGAAAUCUGUUUAUUGUUUAUCAGACUCCCAGUUUAUGUUAUUUUUAUUAUAGAAGUGCCAAUGGACUAAGAUAAGGCUUUAAGCUACAUCAAGGCUCUGCUAAUUAUCCAUGGAGACACUCCCACCCAUCAUUCUGCACUUUUGAACCCUUCUCUUCCAAAUCAGUCCGCAAAAGGAAGUGCAAUUAAGCUUGCUGACAUUCAGUGACCCACAGUGAUGUACAGGGAAU